UCAGCAAGGGACCGCCUUUGCCUCUCCCACUUAUCCACAGGUCACCGUGUCACCGACUGUGAUUACUGCUGAAUAUACGAUGCCACUGGCAACUACCUCUACCUUUCAAAGACACAAAACAUCCUGCCCAUCCCGGGACCCUCUGAACACAAGGCUUUUUGUUGUUUUGGUUUUCUGUUUUUUGGAUCUGUUUGUUUUCUGUUUGUUUGUAUUCCCUCCCUCAGGCACCUGAGAUGAUGUGCUUCUCAGGUCACCCAGUCUGGAUUUCCUCACUGCUGCCUGCAGAAGAGGAAGGCGCCAAGGUCACCAGACCCCUCCUCACUUCAUCUCCUUAGAGUCCAGAAUCACACCAGCUGAAACCCUCCGAACUAGGUCAUCCCUUCUAACCAGCAUCCCUCCUCUCCCUGAAGCCCUGUGCUCACUCGUGAGAGUUCUACCCAGGCCACGGGUGACCUCAGCUGUGGGAGACAGUGUAUCUGCAUCCUGGGCUUUGUGACUCUCCAACAGGAAUGGCCCCAAGACAUCGGGCUGGAGUCUAACCGAACAAGCCCGGAAAGCCCUUUCUCAUCCCUAAAGUAGAAACAGCUGUAACAGUUGGCCUGACUGCUCCUAUGCUCCCUGUCAGAAGUACUCAGUGAGAUCUAUAUUUGCAUGUAAGAAUCACUGGCCUUGUACUGCAUUUGACCCUGCGGAGGACAGAACAUCAAAUUAUGGAGACAGCGCUGAGGCUCAGAGCUGGUUAACUCAGAGGUACAGCAGGCAGCUGAGAGCCAGACUGGGGAACCCAAUACAGGCAGGGAAGGAGUCAGUUCCGUUCCUAGAUGGUGGCACUUAGAGAUACUGCUGAUGCGAAUAACUCAUGAGACCAAGACUGCUGACUGUCCUCCCUACCCAAGAUCUCCUGCUGAGCCCCGAGGCUCUGGGUCCCAGACGCACACACCUGACCUUCCUUCUAUGCCUCAAGAGUUGGGAAGAGACAUGUCAACAGGAGUGGGGAGGACACAUCCCACCUUCUCCUCAGAGUCUUCAGCCACACCCAUGAGUCUCGUGGAGACAAGAGAUACAGACAAGCCCUGUGCUAUUGCUAGGGAGAGACCAGCCCCAUGCCCACCCCGCCUUCCCACUGGAUGAUAGGAUACCCUAUGAACAGCAUCCCCACCCCUUCUCUCCAAAGGAAAAGGAGUCAUAGAGUCACUCAAACAAGGGCAUACAGACCUCAGUCUCCACAGGCUGUGUUCCAGUGGAUGUGGAGUCUGGGUGGGCACGGGACAUGUGGGUGGGAUGUGGUAAGUUUCUUGUUAAAGCACAUGGGUAUUCUAGGCCUGGGCUGGGCAGAUCUUAAGCGACUGGAUAUAUAGCACAAAACAAGUUUGAGAAAAACUAUGUUGAGCCAACGCCAGGUAGAAGGGGCAUUCGUUGAGCAAGUUUUAUUGAGUGUCACUCUGUGGCAGCCCUGGGCACCAGGACUACAGAAAAGCUAGACAAGUCAGAUCUUACAAGGUCCACAAACAAAGAGGUCAGGGUGGAGGGCAGGGGCAGCACUGGCACACAGGAAGUGAGAAUGCUGUGUGAACCUCCCGGAACUUACUGAGAGGCAGGAUGUGGAGCCGAGGCAGGCCAGCAUGACCACAGUGACCAGUCAUGACACUGCAGGGAUAAACCCAGACUAAUUCUUUGUUAUCUGUCUAGCUGACCCUUUUACCCCUUGUGAUAAGUCUAGGGUGUAAGUGAGAUUAAAAAAAAACCUACCCAAGGCCAAAUACCUGCUACAGGCCCCACUGGCUAAGGGGUAAAAAGCCUGGACUCUGUCCCUGAGCCCUGUUCUCCUGCCAGGGUCGUCACCAAAGAUGGGCAAGCUUCUACAAGUCACAGUCUGCAGCACACCCCCAAAACACAAUAGAGCUGUGCUGGGUGUCACCUGCAGUGACAUGGCACUACCUCGAGAGGCAAACGUACCCACCAUCACCUGCAGACACAGGCCAACCCACUCCGGAUGUGAGUCAUCCAGCCCAGGGCCAGAUACAACAGACCCAUCCUUGGUGUCCUGAAAGACGGACACCUAGGACACGUAAACUGGCAGGUGAAGGGGUGGCUUCCCCACAGGCUGGCGCUGGGACAAAGGAGACCAGCACAAUCAGCACGUUCUGCUGACUCUUUAAAACCACUUGCAAAAAGAAACGAAGCUGUGAACACAACUCAGCCACUCAGCUCCCCCUCACCCUCAGUGGCCCUUGUGACUCUGCACAAAGCCCAACUGUGCGCAACUGUAGCCCCGGGGGAGGGGUCUCCAGCAAGCCUAUCCUCUCCCCUGAGUCACAGGGCCGCCACCUCACCCAGCUGAAGACGUGUGCUCCCUGCAUGCAAAGUGCAGAGUUGUCUAAGGUUGGCUGGAUCUGGGGAGCGUUUGCAAGGAGGGAGUUCUUGUCUUCAAUAAACCCCUUUCUAGCAAAACC
Long non-coding RNA from Rattus norvegicus (Norway rat), 2453 nucleotides. RefSeq lists it as uncharacterized. The record is from RefSeq and is a predicted model, not a curated record. Lineage: Eukaryota; Metazoa; Chordata; Mammalia; Rodentia; Muridae.